AUCCUGUUUGAAAUAGAAAUCAUGACUGAAAUAGAAACAAUGUUAUCAAUACUACUUUAUUCCAUCUGGUGUUUUCUUGCAAAUUGUUUUGAGGCUAUUAUGUCUUGACUGCUCAAUCCAAAAUAUUUGAUUCCUAAAGAAAGUCUGUAAUAUCUUUGUCAUGUUUAAGCAGUGGCCUUUAGCAACUGGGAAACACGUGUAACUGUUACAACUAUGGCAUCAUAUUCACCAUCGUCUUCGCCAUCACCGUCAGCACCACCUUCAGCAGCACCAGCAGCAUCAUUGUCUUCAUCAACAUCAUUGAAUUUGUUGAUUUCAUUCUAUUGGCCAUGAAUCAUGUUGUCUCUCCCAAUAUGAACUGCAGAAAAAUGAGGUUUCCAGACAAGAUCACAUUUCUGCUUGCUCCAUGCUACGAUGGAAUCAAUCAAAGCAAAUAAUGCUGGGAAGGCUGAGAGAUAGCAAAGGAAUAUUGGUAAAUAUGGUCUUAUUCCAACAAACCAAAUAACCUAAGAGAACGAUUUGUGGAUCUGACAGGAGAUACUGCAAUUGAAUAUUAUUUUGCUGCAGCAGAAUUGUUGCUACUGCUGUCAGCACACAGCAGGUGGUUGGAAGUUGGCAACUUUUAUGAAAGCCAUUUAUAUUACAGUACAUUUUAUGUAAACAGUGGCAAUAUAAAGCUAAACUGUUCCAGGAAUGAGAUGCAAAUACUAGAAAUGGGUUUUCUUCAAUAAGAAUUUAG
RNAcentral lists this long non-coding RNA (739 nucleotides) under Callithrix jacchus (white-tufted-ear marmoset). Its description in RNAcentral is "lncRNA (ENSCJAG00000072020.1)". Lineage: Eukaryota; Metazoa; Chordata; Mammalia; Primates; Cebidae. The record is from RNAcentral.